GGACCCGCACAAGCGGUGGAUGAUGUGGAUUAAUUCGAUGCAACGCGAAAAACCUUACCUACCCUUGACAUGUCCGGAACCCUUUGGAAACUUAGGGGUGCUCGCAAGAGAACCGGAACACAGGUGCUGCAUGGCUGUCGUCAGCUCGUGUCGUGAGAUGUUGGGUUAAGUCCCGCAACGAGCGCAACCCUUGUCAUUAGUUGCUACGCAAGAGCACUCUAAUGAGACUGCCGGUGACAAACCGGAGGAAGGUGGGGAUGACGUCAAGUCCUCAUGGCCCUUAUGGGUAGGGCUUCACACGUCAUACAAUGGUCGGGACAGAGGGUUGCCAACCCGCGAGGGGGAGCCAAUCCCAGAAACCCGAUCGUAGUCCGGAUUGGAGUCUGCAACUCGACUCCAUGAAGUAGGAAUCGCUAGUAAUCGCGGAUCAGAAUGCCGCGGUGAAUACGUUCCCGGGUCUU
This 461-nucleotide ribosomal RNA is filed under the name uncultured bacterium. Its description in RNAcentral is "bacterial SSU rRNA". It matches the Rfam family "Bacterial small subunit ribosomal RNA", at positions 917 to 1382 of the family's 1533-position model. The record is from RNAcentral.